CCUACGGUAGGCAGCAGUGGGGAAUAUUGGGCAAUGGGGGGAACCCUGAUCCAGCUACGCCGCGUGAGUGAAGAAGUAUUUCGGUAUGUAAAGCUCUAUCCUCAGGGACGAAAGAAAUGACGGUACCUGACUAAUAAGCCCCGGCUAACUACGUGCCAGCCGCCGCGGUAAUACGUAGGGGGCAAGCGUUAUCCGGAUUUCAUGGGUGUAAAGGGAGCGUAGACGGGGAUGCAAGUCUGAAGUGAAAAGCCGGGGCCCAACCCUGGGCCUGCUUUGGAAACUGUAUGGCUGGAGUGCAGGAGAGGUAAGUGGAAGUCCGAGUGGAGCGGUGAAAUGCGUAGAUAUUCGGAGGAACACCAGUGGCGAAGGCGGAUUACUGGACAGUAACUGACGUUGAGGCGCGAAAGCGUGGGGAGCAAACAGGAUUAGAUACCCCAGUAGUC
RNAcentral lists this ribosomal RNA (443 nucleotides) under uncultured bacterium. RNAcentral describes it as "partial 16S ribosomal RNA". It matches the Rfam family "Bacterial small subunit ribosomal RNA", at positions 338 to 795 of the family's 1533-position model. The record is from RNAcentral.